This 493-nucleotide ribosomal RNA is filed under the name uncultured bacterium. RNAcentral describes it as "partial 16S ribosomal RNA". It matches the Rfam family "Bacterial small subunit ribosomal RNA", at positions 28 to 507 of the family's 1533-position model. The record is from RNAcentral.
GACGAACGCUGGCGGCGUGCUUAACACAUGCGAGUCGAACGGAAAGGCCUGCUUUCCCUUGUGGAUUGCGGGUACUCGAGUGGCGAACGGGUGAGUAACACGUGAGUGAUCUGCCCCCAACUUGGGUAUAAGCCUGGGAAACUGGGUCUAAUUCCCGAUAGGACUGCAGGGUGGUGCCUGUGGUGGAAAACGAUUUUCUAGUGGUUGGGGAUGAGCUCGCGGCCUAUCAGCUUGUUGGUGGGGUAAUGGCCUACCAAGGCGGCGACGGGUAGCCGGCCUGGGAGGGUGGACGGCCACAUUGGGACUGAGAUACGGCCCAGACUCCUACGGGAGGCAGCAGUGGGGAAUAUUGCACAAUGGGCGGAAGCCUGAUGCAGCGACGCCGCGUGGGGAUGACGGCCUUCGGGUUGUAAACUCCUUUCGACCGCGAGGAAGCCACCUGGUUGGAAGGGUGGUGACGGUAGUGGUAGAAGAAGCACCGGCUAACUACGUG